RNAcentral lists this long non-coding RNA (464 nucleotides) under Carica papaya (papaya). RNAcentral's name for it is "long non-coding RNA (CPAP_LNC003662)". Lineage: Eukaryota; Viridiplantae; Streptophyta; Magnoliopsida; Brassicales; Caricaceae. The record is from RNAcentral.
CAUUUUAAUCGCGAUCGGACGGUCUAGAUUAAAUCGUGAUGGAUGGCUGAGAUUAAAAGGAGAAGGUUAUAAAUAACCUCACUCUCACCCAACCCCAAACCCUAGCCACAAGUACCCUCGCCGGAGAAGAAGACCCAACCACUGGAGGAGCCGGCCGUCGCCACCCGCCGCCGUACCGGAGGAUUUUUCGACCGCCAAACGAGGUAAAUUUUCUUCUCUUAGCUCGUUUUUCGAUGCUGAAUCCGCCUAUGGCCAAAUCAGAGCCAAACCACCGGCCAAUCGGCCGAAAAACACCGCCAAAGUCUAGCGGCGCCGCCGCGACUUCCCUCAAUUUUUGCCUCCGAUGAGGCCCUUCCCGGUUCCCGUUCGAUGAAAUUUUUACACCACUAUGAUUACCAUUCUUUUCUCUACAGGUUGACCAGAGCAAAACAUCGAAUCGCGACUCGCUCCGGAGAAGUCUUCGC